GCCCCCUUAGCUCAGGGGAUAGAGCGUCUGCCUCCGGAGCAGAAGGCCACAGGUUCAAAUCCUGCAGGGGGCACCA
This 76-nucleotide transfer RNA is filed under the name Coriobacteriales bacterium. RNAcentral describes it as "tRNA-Arg". It matches the Rfam family "tRNA". Rfam says of the family: Transfer RNA (tRNA) molecules are approximately 80 nucleotides in length. Their secondary structure includes four short double-helical elements and three loops (D, anti-codon, and T loops). Further hydrogen bonds mediate the characteristic L-shaped molecular structure. tRNAs have two regions of fundamental functional importance: the anti-codon, which is responsible for specific mRNA codon recognition, and the 3' end, to which the tRNAs corresponding amino acid is attached (by aminoacyl-tRNA synthetases). tRNAs cope with the degeneracy of the genetic code in two manners: having more than one tRNA (with a specific anti-codon) for a particular amino acid; and 'wobble' base-pairing, i.e. permitting non-standard base-pairing at the 3rd anti-codon position. The record is from RNAcentral. Lineage: Bacteria; Bacillati; Actinomycetota; Coriobacteriia; Coriobacteriales.